Acanthopagrus latus (yellowfin seabream) is the source of this 466-nucleotide long non-coding RNA. RefSeq lists it as uncharacterized. The transcript is spliced from 3 exons. Lineage: Eukaryota; Metazoa; Chordata; Actinopteri; Spariformes; Sparidae. The record is from RefSeq and is a predicted model, not a curated record.
UCCUAUGGUAAAUGAAACAGGGCAGGGGGGUGAGGAGAAAGCUGCUCCUGUUUCUGUUUGAUGUUCAGUAAUUGUAUGCAGGAGAAUGGUGCUCCAGUUUCCUGACUUGUUCACCCCUUUUCCUUUGUCACCUUAACUCUCCUCCAGGGUACGUCGCAUUCUGAGAUUGAUACUUCUCGGUUGCCAUGACGGCAGCUAGCAGAACAAGCUACUGCUAAUAAGUCCGCUACAGAAGAUCUCUUGUGCCAAUCAACCAGUGAGACAGACAACGUGAAGCGUGGUCAGUACUUUUAUGGGGAGAAAAGGCCAGUGACCUUCACGCCUGGUGGGGAAAGCCAAGCUGGUCACCAUGGUGGAGAGGAAGUCGUGUGAAUCAGGCACUACUUGGUGAUGCCUCUGCCUUGUAUCAGAAGCUUUUUGGUGUAUACUCCUGGUGAGCACUUUUCAAAGGAAUGGCUAGUUUUAC